GAUGAACGCUGGCGGCGUGCCUAAUACAUGCAAGUCGAGCGAACAGACGAUGAGCUUGCUCCUCUGACGUUAGCGGCAGACGGGUGAGUAACACGUGUAUAACCUACCUAUAAGACUGGGACAACUUCGGGAAACCGGAGCUAAUACCGGAUAAUAUAUUGAACCGCAUGGUUCAAUAGUGAAAGACGGUUUUGCGGUCACUUAUAGCUGGAUCUGGGCCGCAUUAGCUAGUUGGUAAGGUAACGGGUUACCAAGGGAACGAGGGGUAGACGAACUGAGGGGGUGAUAGGCCACACUGGAACUGAAACACGGACCAGACUCCUACGGGAGGCAGCAGUAGGGAAUCUUCCGCAAUGGGCGAAAACAUGACGGAGCAACGCCACGUGAGUGAUGAAGGUCUUCGGAUCGUAAAAAUCUGUUAUUAGGGAAGAACAAAUGUGUAAGUAACUAUGCACGUCUUGACGGUAACUAAUCAGAAAGCCACGGCUAACUACGUG
This 497-nucleotide ribosomal RNA is filed under the name uncultured bacterium. Its description in RNAcentral is "partial 16S ribosomal RNA". It matches the Rfam family "Bacterial small subunit ribosomal RNA", at positions 28 to 507 of the family's 1533-position model. The record is from RNAcentral.